ACGAGUGGCGGACGGGUGAGUAAUGUCUGGGAAACUGCCUGAUGGAGGGGGAUAACUACUGGAAACGGUAGCUAAUACCGCAUAACGUCGCAAGACCAAAGAGGGGGACCUUCGGGCCUCUUGCCAUCGGAUGUGCCCAGAUGGGAUUAGCUAGUAGGUGGGGUAACGGCUCACCUAGGCGACGAUCCCUAGCUGGUCUGAGAGGAUGACCACGCCACACUGGAACUGAGACACGGUCCAGACUCCUACGGGAGGCCAUG
This 260-nucleotide ribosomal RNA is filed under the name uncultured bacterium. RNAcentral describes it as "partial 16S ribosomal RNA". It matches the Rfam family "Bacterial small subunit ribosomal RNA", at positions 91 to 349 of the family's 1533-position model. The record is from RNAcentral.